Molecule: small nucleolar RNA, 100 nt
Filed under: Papilio xuthus (Asian swallowtail)
Lineage: Eukaryota; Metazoa; Arthropoda; Insecta; Lepidoptera; Papilionidae
Description: Small nucleolar RNA U3
Rfam family: Small nucleolar RNA U3 (bases 1-40)
Source: Rfam by way of RNAcentral
AAGACCUUACUUCAUAGGAUCAUUUCUAUAGUAAGUUCUUCACGAGACGCUCUCGGGUCAGCAAAAACUACGACUCAUUAAAAAUUGGACUAAAUGUUGU